This is a non-coding RNA of Paramuricea clavata, 319 nucleotides long. The record is from the annotation of a GenBank genome assembly. Lineage: Eukaryota; Metazoa; Cnidaria; Anthozoa; Malacalcyonacea; Plexauridae.
AAAAGUCGGGCAAUUUUCGGGUAGUCAGGCAAAUUGCCGACCGCAAACCAGGAAAAUGUUGGCCGCCCAUGCUCAAAUUGACCUCGUAACCACUUUAUUACCUAUACUUAUCCCUUUUCUUCAUAACCCAAUCCUAAAAUGUUAACCGUAGUCCAUUGUGCAAAAGACUAAUAUACCUAAUAAACCAAUUUAUAAUACAUACGUCGUGCAGGCUUCCAGUUAAAUUUGGAUUGCAAUUCCUCCUCCUUCUGAUAAGGUUUCCCGCUGCUCAAUUCCAAGCGAAUAUUAGUUACACCACAUGAAAGUUUCUUGCAAAUUU